GUGCUUGCUUCAGCAGCACAUAUACUAAAAUUGGAAUAAUACAGAGAAGAUUAGCAUGGCCCUUGCCUAAGGAUGACAUGUAAAUUCAUGAAGCACUCCAUAUUUUU
Chlorocebus sabaeus (green monkey) is the source of this 107-nucleotide small nuclear RNA. Lineage: Eukaryota; Metazoa; Chordata; Mammalia; Primates; Cercopithecidae. The record is from Ensembl.